UACGUAGGGGGCUAGCGUUGUCCGGAUUUAUUGGGCGUAAAGAGCGUGUAGGCGGCCAUACAGGUCAGCUGUGAAAACUCGAGGCUCAACCUCGAGACGUCGGUUGAAACCGUAUGGCUAGAGUCCGGAAGAGGAGAGUGGAAUUCCCGGUGUAGCGGUGAAAUGCGCAGAUAUCGGGAAGAACACCCGUGGCGAAGGCGGCUCUCUGGGACGGUACUGACGCUGAGACGCGAAAGCGUGGGGAGCGAACAGG
RNAcentral lists this ribosomal RNA (253 nucleotides) under uncultured bacterium. RNAcentral describes it as "partial 16S ribosomal RNA". It matches the Rfam family "Bacterial small subunit ribosomal RNA", at positions 524 to 776 of the family's 1533-position model. The record is from RNAcentral.